GCCAGGCGCUGUGGUGCAUGCCUGUAGUCCCAGCCACUCGGGAGGCUGAGACUGAAGGAUCGCUUGAGUCCAGGAGUUCUGGGCUGUAGUGUGCUAUGCCAAUCGGGUGUCUACACUAAGUUCGGCAUCAAUAUGGUGACCUCCCAGGAGCGGGGGACCACCAGAUUGCCUAAGGAGGGGUGAAGUGGCUCAGCUCAGAAACAAGCAGUCAAAACUCCCGUGCUGAUCAAGUGGAUCAGGCCUGUGAUAGCCACUGCAUUCCAGCCUAGCAACACAGUGAGGACCCCACCUCU
RNAcentral lists this signal recognition particle RNA (293 nucleotides) under Aotus nancymaae (Ma's night monkey). RNAcentral describes it as "Metazoan signal recognition particle RNA (ENSANAG00000001408.1)". It matches the Rfam family "Metazoan signal recognition particle RNA". From Rfam's summary of the family: The signal recognition particle (SRP) is a universally conserved ribonucleoprotein. It is involved in the co-translational targeting of proteins to membranes. Lineage: Eukaryota; Metazoa; Chordata; Mammalia; Primates; Aotidae. The record is from RNAcentral.